Molecule: long non-coding RNA, 1581 nt
Filed under: Macaca fascicularis (crab-eating macaque)
Lineage: Eukaryota; Metazoa; Chordata; Mammalia; Primates; Cercopithecidae
Description: lncRNA (ENSMFAG00000053424.1)
Source: RNAcentral
UUCCUGUCUGUCUAUUCUGUUCCAGUUGUCACUGUGUCGCCUUGCUCUGUGGUAUGACAAUGAAUCCUGACAUCUUUGAGUCUUUCAAAAAUCUCAUUUUCAAGUUACAUGGCAAAUUCAGAUACCACCUACAUAAGGACCAUGAGAAAUGCUCCAAGAAGCAGCAUCCAGUUAAGCUCAUUUUCUACAUUUCUGCUUUGGGGAGAGAAGGCGCUUCUAUCAUCUGGUGAUAGGAUGGGGGCUUCAGAAAGAAGCAGGAAGAGCUCUGCGAAUAUUAGAUGGCUCAGUGCUGAGUUCAGGAAGUCACUGUUGUGUUCUUAAAGAGGCUAUGCCAGAGGACUUUGGAGACCCAGAUGCUUCAUUCAAUGAACUACAAAUGAAAAAAACUAAAGGCAAACCAGAUUUCUUUCAAUGAAGGUUUUUGGUUUUCCGAGAUGAAGACUAAGAGGAGAAUCACAGCCGUCUGCACUCUGCAACCCUUCAUCCACUUCGCCACAGCUCGCCUCUCACGCUGUCUUCCUCCUCGGCUGCAGCACAGCAGAACCAACCUGGGAGGGGAAAUAGAAAGACAGUGGGAAUCGCUGUCACCUCUCCACUGCCCUCAGAGACCAAGAAAGUGGUUAUGCCACGCUGGGUCAGAGACACAGGCCCUGGAUUUCUGUUCUUCUAUGUUAAUUAGAAAGCAGAAUCUUAAGAGCCAAUUUUGACUAAGAACUCUGUGUCCAAUUUUCUCCUGGCCCUGAUUGUGAAGGGCCUGAUCAAUAUUAAAUCUAAUUUACAAUGAUGGCCCCCGUGAAGCUGGCAAAUGUUAUGUCAACACACCGUAAUGACUUGGGCUUCCUGAGCACACUUGUUAGCCGGGGCCGCAUCUGCCGCCACCACUCUCAUACCCGCUCCUGCCUCUCACACCACAUCUGUGAUAACGCCCCCCAAGUUCUCCUGCCUCCGGUCCUGUCAAUCCUUGUUGCCUUAUUGCUGUCUGAUGAACUCCAGAAAAGAAGGAGAACACAAUUAAUUUUUCUCCCACAACUGAUGAACCAAAGAAAGAAAUAAUUGCUACUCAGUUUUAAUAAUGGCAAAUUUUAUGAAAUUUCCAUGAAGACAAUUUGAAAAGGAGUGCGGGGGGAAAUUAUUUCUCUGCAGGAGGCCCAACUGGUUUGCGUUGUUUCCUAAUGUUUAUGUUAUUACAAUUCCAUGUCACUUGCAUUUGCAUCCCCUUGUCUGCAGGGCAAGUUCUUGCAACUAAUUUGUGAGGCAAUGAAUAAAAGACUCAUAAUGGAGUGAGAUCCCAUCCUGAAAGCUUCCAGUCUUUCCUUGUCUCGGGGGAGCAUCUCUAUUGAAGAGAGGUGCUAAGGUUCCAGAGAUGUUUCCGAAAGCCAGGAGACAGAUACCUUUCAUGUCACUCUCCUGCUUGAAACAUUUCUUGUCAGCUACUCAGGAGACUGAGGCAGGAGAAUCACUUGAACCCGGGAGGCAGAGGUUGCAGUGAGCUGAGAUUGUGCCACUGCACUCCAGCCUGGGUGACAGAGUGAGACUCUGUCUCAAAAACAAAAACAAAAACAAAAACAAAAACAAAAAAAC